AUUGAACGCUGGCGGCAUGCCUUACACAUGCAAGUCGAACGGUAACAGGUCUUCGGAUGCUGACGAGUGGCGAACGGGUGAGUAAUACAUCGGAACGUGCCUAGUAGUGGGGGAUAACUACUCGAAAGAGUGGCUAAUACCGCAUGAGAUCUACGGAUGAAAGCAGGGGAUCGCAAGACCUUGUGCUACUAGAGCGGCCGGUGGCAGGCUAGGUAGUUGGUGGCAUCAAAGCUUACCAAGCCGAGGAUCUGUAGCUGGUCUGAGCGGACGAUCAGCCAAGGCGGGAAUGAAACACGGCCAAGACUCCUACGGGAGGCAGCAGUGGGGAAUUUUGGACAAUGGGCGAAAGCCUGAUCCAGCAAUGCAGCGUUCAGGAUGAAGGCCUUCGGUUUGUAAACUGCUUUUGUACGGAACGAAAAGCCCCGGGUUAAUACCCUGGGGUCAUGACGGUACCGAAAGAAUAAGCACCGGCCAACUACGUGCCAGCCGCCGCCGUAA
RNAcentral lists this ribosomal RNA (498 nucleotides) under uncultured bacterium. RNAcentral's name for it is "partial 16S ribosomal RNA". It matches the Rfam family "Bacterial small subunit ribosomal RNA", at positions 30 to 523 of the family's 1533-position model. The record is from RNAcentral.